RNAcentral lists this ribosomal RNA (301 nucleotides) under uncultured bacterium. RNAcentral describes it as "partial 16S ribosomal RNA". It matches the Rfam family "Bacterial small subunit ribosomal RNA", at positions 509 to 807 of the family's 1533-position model. The record is from RNAcentral.
CAGUCGCCGCGGUAAUACGAAGGGGGCUAGCGUUGUUCGGAAUUACUGGGCGUAAAGCGCACGUAGGCGGAUAUCUAAAUCAGGGGUGAAAUCCCAGAGCUCAACUCUGGAACUGCCUUUGAUACUGGGUAUCUUGAGUAUGGAAGAGGUGAGUGGAAUUCCGAGUGUAGAGGUGAAAUUUGUAGAUAUUCGGAGGAACACCAGUGGCGAAGGCGGCUCACUGGUCCAUUACUGACGCUGAGGUGCGAAAGCGUGGGGAGCAAACAGGAUUAGAUACCCCGGUAGUCCCUGUCUCUUAUAC